Hippocampus zosterae (dwarf seahorse) is the source of this 926-nucleotide long non-coding RNA. RefSeq lists it as uncharacterized. Lineage: Eukaryota; Metazoa; Chordata; Actinopteri; Syngnathiformes; Syngnathidae. The record is from RefSeq and is a predicted model, not a curated record. The transcript has 2 exons.
GCAAGAAACAACGUAUUGCAUGCUCAAGACCACGCCAAACUGUGUGAUGGACCCAUAUCGCUGAGGAAUACAAGAUAUGUACAAACACAACUUCCAUAGGAAAAGCACGUCCAGGUCAAAGUACGACGAGCAGGCAGGGGAUGACCACCGAAUCCACAAGAAGGUCUCGGCAGAUCAGACAUUGGAGUUCUUCGGGCACAGGGAUGUUGUCAUCCUCUGGCUCACUCUCUUCUUGGUGCAAAAAGGGAUGCUUCUCCUUCUUGCCCACGGCGUACGCCUGGCUGCGGGCAUGCGGUUAAAUAAAUGAGUCAUAUUUGCUCUUGGUCUUACCUCCUGGGUACGGAGCUAACCAGAUACACUCACGCAUCGAUGGCAGGAAUUGCAAAACGUCCACAAUUAGUCAGCAUGGCUCCUCUGAUGUUGGGGUCGUCCACUUCCACCAUGAAGGAGCGAGGAAUGCCUGUGCUUUUCUUUAUCUUUGGAGGAGCAUCGAAAUUCUUAUCCUGUCGUCGGUAAAACACAAAGUUAUGAGUAAGAGCUCACGGUGAAUGCUUGGACUGAUUUAUGAUAUGUUGCUUACAUACCCCAGCGGAUGGACAUUUCCUGAUGUGGUGUCCGGCGUUUCCGCAGCGGAAACAGGUGUAGUUAGCAGGGAGCACCCCACCUAAUUUUUUGUUGUAACUCGAGAGACUGACGCAGGAAAAGCAUUGGGUUACCAAGAAGGAAAGAAUAUCGACGAAUCAAGACCAUAACGGGAGCAUCACUCACGUCAUGGGGUCGUAUGCGGACUGAUUCAUCACGACUUUGAUCUUAUCAUCCUCUGACACAUCAGCGGAUGCCAGGUUCACCAUCUGCACGGAGAGAAAAGUUGUGUGUGCCCAAAAGAAACGACCGCGGCACAUUUCUUAAAAAAUAAAAUAAAGAUU